ACUUCGCUCGUGUCGCUCUUCACGCAGGCUGUUCUCUUUGUCUUGUCUCUGGCCGGGUCGGCGUCCACCAAGGAUAUACUGGAUCUUACUAGUCUGCCAAUACCAACGCGAAGAAUCGUCAGAUAACACAAUCAGGAACAUGGAAUUAAAUACAAAGCAGGCAUAAAAUACUCAUGUAAUUGCGCUUGGAGAAAUCACAUUCCAAAACAAAAGCUGCGUCACCUGGUGUAAUUAACUCAUCAUCGUGCUGGAUGACUAGGGUGUUUUUGUACUUAUCAUGAAACUGUAAUAUGUCGCAUUGAUCAAAGGGAAUGUUCAGAGUGAAAUUCCCACCGUGAGCUGGAUCUAAAAAACAAGGAGCCUGUCUUGAAUAGAAACUACCUU
Molecule: long non-coding RNA, 384 nt
Organism: Osmia bicornis bicornis
Lineage: Eukaryota; Metazoa; Arthropoda; Insecta; Hymenoptera; Megachilidae
Exons: 3
Source: RefSeq, a predicted model, not a curated record